AUAAUGCCAGUAGGCAUUCCCCGCUGUUCGUCUCCCUCCACGCUAUGGGGGAAGAGUCUCACUUUCUUCUUUGUUUCAUUAGUGACCAAAUUUGGGCAAAAUCCUAUUUUUACUUUUAUUUAUUUAUUUUUAGGUUUGGUGGUCCUAUCCUUUUUGAAGUUUGCCCCUGUCCCCUCGGAAAAAUGAAAAAUCAACAUCCCUGCAAUGGUGACACUGUCCCAACAUAAGGAAUCGAACAAAAGGGACAACAUGGAGAUUACAUUAUAUUUGAUGAUAUGCAAUGACGGCAAUGAUGAUGAUGGCAACAAUAACAUUGACGAUAGAAGUGGCAGCAUCCACAUGUUUCUGGGGGGAAAGAUUGUUGCCUUUGUUUGAAACGCAAACAAACACUUUGAAAGCCAGGAAACUUGGAUGCGCUGGAGAUAACCAGCUCUGGAUUAGCAUGGAUGUCAUUGACCUGGUCAUGGAAGAUUGGCAUCCACUACAAGGCAGUUUGGCAUCAAUCACAAAAAAGAAGAUUGGAUGCUCCAGCAAAAUGGGGCGAGGGAGAGAAGGAGCAUGCUCAUGUAUAUGUGAGAGUAAAUAUCAUAAUAACUGCACAGGCUGGAUUCAGUAUGCUGGUUUCCAAAGAAGCUGUAAUUUUCUAUUAC
This 650-nucleotide long non-coding RNA is filed under the name Pogona vitticeps (central bearded dragon). RNAcentral's name for it is "lncRNA (ENSPVIG00000011378.1)". The record is from RNAcentral. Lineage: Eukaryota; Metazoa; Chordata; Lepidosauria; Squamata; Agamidae.